GUGGCAGAGCUGCCUGGCCUCAGGGAGUUGUGCCCAGGCCCUGCCUGCCUCUCUGCCUGGUAGGAGGGGCUGGGGCUCCAUGCAGGACGUCCUGGUCUGAGGUGGGGUGACUUCACUCCAGGGCAGCUAUGUCAGACUGGGACGGAGGACUGCCUUCGGGUUUUCUCCCACAGACGGAAAUUCAAAGCCAACAGGCCUCUCCCCGAGAGACUGCAGACCCAGGCCAAGGUUCCCAGGAAAUGGCCAGCUCACCCUGUCUGACAAGUGACCUCUCCUGACAAGUGGCCAAUUGAGUUUCAAAACAACAGUGCCACUGACUAAAAGAAAAUUGCCUCUUUAAAAAAAAAUUGUAUUUAUUUAUUUUUGGCUGUGCUGGGUCUUCGUUGCUGUGAGGGCUUUUCUCUAGUCGUUACAAGUGAGGGCUACUCUUUAACUGUCAUAUGCAGGCUUCUCAUGGCAGCGGCUUCUCUUGGGUGGAGCAUGUGCUCUGGGCAUGGGGGCUUUAGUAGUUGUGGCCUGGGGCUCAGUAGUUGCCGUUCCCGGGCUUUAGAGCCCAGACUUAAAUAGUUGUGGUACAUGGGCUUGUGGAGUUAGUUGCUCUGGGGCAUGUGGAGUCUUUAGUGUCAGAGGUCAAACCCAAGUCUCCUGCAUUGGUAGGCAGACUUACACUGAGCCACCAGGGAAGGCCAAAAUUGCCUCUUCUUAAAGAACGCAAGGUGGUUCAUAGGUGGAUCAGAGUUCCACUCUUCAGAUGCAGGAAUAUGGGGGACACUCAUACUCAUUCCACAGAACAGGAUAUCUGGGUCACCCCUUCCCAGAGGGGCUGACGCAUGCGUAUGCUCUGCUUACGCUCGAGGGAAUUGGUAGCUGGAGGUAGUGCAGGACCCGCCGUACUGGGCAUGCUUUC
This 907-nucleotide long non-coding RNA is filed under the name Bos indicus x Bos taurus (hybrid cattle). RNAcentral's name for it is "lncRNA (ENSBIXG00005021945.1)". The record is from RNAcentral. Lineage: Eukaryota; Metazoa; Chordata; Mammalia; Artiodactyla; Bovidae.